AGUGAACGCUGGCGGUAGGCCUGACACAUGCAAGUCGAACGGCAGCACAGUAAGAGCUUGCUCUUACGGGUGGCGAGUGGCGGACGGGUGAGGAAUACAUCGGAAUCUACUUUUUCGUGGGGGAUAACGUAGGGAAACUUACGCUAAUACCGCAUACGACCUACGGGUGAAAGCAGGGGAUCUUCGGACCUUGCGCGAUUGAAUGAGCCGAUGUCGGAUUAGCUAGUUGGCGGGGUAAAGGCCCACCAAGGCGACGAUCCGUAGCUGGUCUGAGAGGAUGAUCAGCCACACUGGAACUGAGACACGGUCCAGACUCCUACGGGAGGCAGCAGUGGGGAAUAUUGGACAAUGGGCGCAAGCCUGAUCCAGCCAUACCGCGUGGGUGAAGAAGGCCUUCGGGUUGUAAAGCCCUUUUGCUGGGAAAGAAAAGCAGCAGGUUAAUACCCCGCUGUUCUGACGGUACCCAAAGAAUAAGCACCGGCUAACUUCGUG
RNAcentral lists this ribosomal RNA (492 nucleotides) under uncultured bacterium. RNAcentral describes it as "partial 16S ribosomal RNA". It matches the Rfam family "Bacterial small subunit ribosomal RNA", at positions 29 to 507 of the family's 1533-position model. The record is from RNAcentral.